GAGUUUGAUCAUGGCUCAGAUUGAACGCUGGCGGCAGGCCUAACACAUGCAAGUCGAGCGGUAGAGAGAAGCUUGCUUCUCUUGAGAGCGGCGGACGGGUGAGUAAUGCCUAGGAAUCUGCCUGGUAGUGGGGGAUAACGUUCGGAAACGGACGCUAAUACCGCAUACGUCCUACGGGAGAAAGCAGGGGACCUUCGGGCCUUGCGCUAUCAGAUGAGCCUAGGUCGGAUUAGCUAGUUGGUGAGGUAAUGGCUCACCAAGGCGACGAUCCGUAACUGGUCUGAGAGGAUGAUCAGUCACACUGGAACUGAGACACGGUCCAGACUCCUACGGGAGGCAGCAGUGGGGAAUAUUGGACAAUGGGCGAAAGCCUGAUCCAGCCAUGCCGCGUGUGUGAAGAAGGUCUUCGGAUUGUAAAGCACUUUAAGUUGGGAGGAAGGGCAGUUACCUAAUACGUGAUUGUUUUGACGUUACCGACAGAAUAAGCACCGGCUAACUCUGUGCCAGCCG
RNAcentral lists this ribosomal RNA (510 nucleotides) under bacterium enrichment culture clone ALO1_GLFRUDD03F5XBI. Its description in RNAcentral is "bacterial SSU rRNA". It matches the Rfam family "Bacterial small subunit ribosomal RNA", at positions 9 to 514 of the family's 1533-position model. The record is from RNAcentral.